GACGAACGCUGGCGGCGUGCUUAACACAUGCAAGUCGAACGGAAAGGCCCUGCUUUUGUGGGGUGCUCGAGUGGCGAACGGGUGAGUAACACGUGAGUAACCUGCCCUUGACUUUGGGAUAACUUCAGGAAACUGGGGCUAAUGCCGGAUAGGAGCUCCUGCUGCAUGGUGGGGGUUGGAAAGUUUCGGCGGUUGGGGAUGGACUCGCGGCUUAUCAGCUUGUUGGUGGGGUAGUGGCUUACCAAGGCCUUGACGGGUAGCCGGCCUGAGAGGGUGACCGGCCACAUUGGGACUGAGAUACGGCCCAGACUCCUACGGGAGGCAGCAGUGGGGAAUAUCGCACAAUGGGCGGAAGCCUGAUGCAGCAACGCCGCGUGCGGGAUGACGGCCUUCGGGUUGUAAACCGCUUUCGCCUGUGACGAAGCGUGAGUGACGGUAAUGGGUAAAGAAGCACCGGCUAACUACGUG
This 468-nucleotide ribosomal RNA is filed under the name uncultured bacterium. RNAcentral describes it as "partial 16S ribosomal RNA". It matches the Rfam family "Bacterial small subunit ribosomal RNA", at positions 28 to 507 of the family's 1533-position model. The record is from RNAcentral.